GAUGAACGCUGGCGGCGUGCUUAACACAUGCAAGUCGAACGGAAAGGCUCCUGCUUGCAGGGGUACUCGAGUGGCGAACGGGUGAGUAACACGUGGGUGAUCUGCCCUGCACUUCGGGAUAAGCCUGGGAAACUGGGUCUAAUACCGGAUAGGACCACAUUUUGGAUGGUGUGGUGGAAAGUUUUUCGGUGUGGGAUGAGCUCGCGGCCUAUCAGCUUGUUGGUGGGGUAAUGGCCUACCAAGGCGUCGACGGGUAGCCGGCCUGAGAGGGUGUACGGCCACAUUGGGACUGAGAUACGGCCCAGACUCCGACGGGAGGCAGCAGUGGGGAAUAUUGGACAAUGGGCGCAAGCCUGAUGCAGCGAGGCCGCGUGGGGGAUGACGGCUUUCGGGUUGUAAACUCCUUUCGCUAGGGACGAAGCGUUUUUGUGACGGUACCUGGAGAAGAAGCACCGGCUAACUACGUG
RNAcentral lists this ribosomal RNA (467 nucleotides) under uncultured bacterium. Its description in RNAcentral is "partial 16S ribosomal RNA". It matches the Rfam family "Bacterial small subunit ribosomal RNA", at positions 28 to 507 of the family's 1533-position model. The record is from RNAcentral.